UUUAAUACAUGCAAGUCGAGCGAGAAAGUUUCUUCGGAAGCGAGUAAAGCGGCGAACGGGUGAGUAACGCGUAGGAAUCUACCAUUCAGCGGGGGAUAGCUCGGGGAAACUCGAAUUAAUACCGCAUAUACCCUAUGGGGGAAAGAAGGCCUCUCCUUGGAAGCUUUCACUGUUUGAUGAGCCUGCGUGAGAUUAGUUUGUUGGUGAGGUAAUGGCUCACCAAGGCUACGAUCUCUAGCUGGUCUGAGAGGACGAUCAGCCACACUGGGACUGAGACACGGCCCAGACUCCUACGGGAGGCAGCAGUAGAGAAUAUUGGACAAUGGGGGCAACCCUGAUCCAGGCAUGCCGCGUGUGUGAAGAAGGCCUUAGGGUUGUAAAGCACUUUAGGUAAGGAAGAAAAGUUAAUUGUUAAUACCUUUUAACCCUGACAUUACUUACAGAAUAAGGACCG
RNAcentral lists this ribosomal RNA (454 nucleotides) under uncultured Pseudomonadota bacterium. RNAcentral's name for it is "bacterial SSU rRNA". It matches the Rfam family "Bacterial small subunit ribosomal RNA", at positions 47 to 495 of the family's 1533-position model. The record is from RNAcentral. Lineage: Bacteria; Pseudomonadati; Pseudomonadota.